RNAcentral lists this long non-coding RNA (463 nucleotides) under Ornithorhynchus anatinus (platypus). RNAcentral describes it as "lncRNA (ENSOANG00000038461.1)". Lineage: Eukaryota; Metazoa; Chordata; Mammalia; Monotremata; Ornithorhynchidae. The record is from RNAcentral.
GCAUGCGCCACGCCCCAGGUUUGCCCCUGCUCUAAAGGCCUUGUUCUCAUCUCCCAGAGGCCUUUGUGGAGUGAGGGAGAGGUGCUGGGGCAAGAACCAAGCAAGCAGGCUGCAUAAUCCAGGGCCGUGUUUGGUGUCUAAUUGCAUCCCCACACCCCACCCUGUGUGAUAGCCUCAGCCUGCCCAGGGAGGAGGUCCCAGUCCCAUAGUGACUGAUGCCAGAGGCCAAAGCUCAGCGGGAUCUGGCUUGUUCAGAGAUUCCCCAAGGCUGGGGAGCCUCUUGUUUCUUGCCAGCCGUUGGCAACCCCUGAUUGCCGUCACUGCUGACGCGGUCACCCUCCUGAUUCCUGGUGUGACGGAUGCGAUGUGUUCCUGGCUGACCAGGAAACCAGGUGUUGCCAUCACAGCUGUGGCCCAAGCGUUGGAAGUGGAGGUGGCACAGAGGAAGCAGCUGCAGCAGUAG